UUUGACCUCAAAUCAGGUAGGACUACCCGCUGAACUUAAGCUA
This 43-nucleotide ribosomal RNA is filed under the name Tricholoma magnivelare. RNAcentral describes it as "partial 28S ribosomal RNA". Lineage: Eukaryota; Fungi; Basidiomycota; Agaricomycetes; Agaricales; Tricholomataceae. The record is from RNAcentral.